Molecule: long non-coding RNA, 1461 nt
Filed under: Scleropages formosus (Asian bonytongue)
Lineage: Eukaryota; Metazoa; Chordata; Actinopteri; Osteoglossiformes; Osteoglossidae
Description: lncRNA (ENSSFOG00015033090.1)
Source: RNAcentral
GUGUGUGUGUGUGUGUGUGUGUGUGUGAGAAUGAGAUCAGUUUGUUUCCUAUACAUACAACUUUUGUGCAUAAGUUUAAAUGGGUUUUCCAUAUAAUUAGUAGAAGGUUUUGUUUGCUCAUCUCCACAAUUUGAGUGAAUACAUGCAUUGUGUAUAGAGUCUUUUCCUUCAUGAGGCUGUUUGGGGAGGAGCCAGUUCUAGGGGUUCUGCUAACAGUACAAGAGCUUUAAAGGAGAAUGUUCAGUCACAUCUCCACCAUUGUCUGUCCACUGUCACACUCCUUCAUGGGGUGUUGUUGGUGUUUGCUGCCUUGGGCGAGUGCUGUCUCUCCAAUGUUUCCACGGUAUUACUGCCAAUGAAGGGCCUCUUUUAGUUUUGGGUCUUGGGGGGGUUCCUAUAAGGGCUCGUUGCACUAGUAGUCUGUAGUUCACGUGGGGGCCUUGUCUAAGUGUACAGUGUGACCCCCAAAGAUGGUGUCUGCCCCCUGAUCUGUGGAAGCAGCUCUUUGUGCUUAAAGUAGCAGUGACCACGGAAUCUUUUUUUUUUAAAUGUUUGCACUUUUUUUUUUUCCCUAGUCCAAGCUGACUUCGAUUUACUGUGUGAUGUCAACUGACGAGCAAGCUUGGGCUGAAGUAUGAACUCUGCCUCGGGAUGCAGUCACACAGUGUAAGAUGACCCCACCAUCUGUGCCAGCGUUGCUGAAGCUCCAUCACAUGAUCACUCCUGAAUGCAUCUGCAGGUGCGGCGUUGGGCGAUGGUGGGGUGGAGCACCCGCAUAACGUAUACCGACUUCUGCAAUCCCACGGUUUUUGACCACCCACCCUCCGUCCAAGCCACCAGAAACCGUCUAUUGUGGAUCCAGCAAGGCAACCGCUCCGUGGCAGACUACGCAUUGGCGUUCAAAACAUUGGUCGAGCAAGGCAGAUGGAACACCGCAUCCCUCCUGGCAUGUUUUCGGAACAGGCUCCAACCUUGCCUCCAAGCCAAACUGGCCUAUUGUGGAGGGGAGUGGAUGCUGGACUGCUUCAUGGAAACAGCUGGACAACCUAGCCCACAAGAGGACCCUGAGGGGGUGGGUGGUGACACCAACUUCUCCUUCCUGGGAGGAGGACCCUGAGCCAAUGCAGAGUGAACAAAGUCGACUGACCCCGGACGAGAGACAAUACCGCGUCCAAGAGCGCUGGUGCCUGUACUGCGGUGUUCCUGGUCACUAUUUCUCCUCCUGCCCCAUGCAUCCACCACGAGAGACCCUCCUGGAACCUCAGGUGAGUCUUUUUUAUCAUUCGGGGGGAGCUAACAGUACUAAUCAGCCUAGCCUGGUCAGGGAACCAGACCAGUACCCAUGCGUUAAUAGACUCAGGGGCAGCUCGGUGUUUUAUGGAUGGGGGUUUUGCACAGGCUAACCACAUACCGGGUAAGGAAUGUGACAUAAUGUUACGGGUAAGCAUGUUGGACAGGCAG